RNAcentral lists this ribosomal RNA (460 nucleotides) under uncultured bacterium. RNAcentral's name for it is "partial 16S ribosomal RNA". It matches the Rfam family "Bacterial small subunit ribosomal RNA", at positions 338 to 795 of the family's 1533-position model. The record is from RNAcentral.
CCUACGGGAGGCAGCAGUGAGGAAUCUUGGUCAAUGGACGAGAGUCUGAACCAGCCAAGUAGCGUGAAGGAUGACUGCCUUAUGGGUUGUAAACUUCUUUUAUAUGGGAAUAAAAUGUUCCACGUGUGGGAUUUCGUAUGUACCAUAUGAAUACGGAUCGGCUAACCCCGUGACAGCAGCCGCGGUAAUACGGAGGAUCCGAGCGUUAUCCGGGUUUAUUGGGUUUAAAGGGAGCGUAGGUGGGUUGUUAAGUCAGUUGUGAAAGUUUGCGGCUCAACCGGAAAAUUGCAGUUGAAACUGGCAGUCUUGAGUACAGUAGAGGUGGGCGGAAUUCGUGGUGUAGCGGUGAAAUGCUUAGAUAUCACGAAGAACUCCGAUGGCGAAGGCAGUUCACUGGACUGCAACUGACACUGAGGCUCGAAAGUGUGGGUAUCAAACAGGAUUAGAUACCCUAGUAGUC